RNAcentral lists this ribosomal RNA (90 nucleotides) under Desulfococcaceae bacterium HSG7. Lineage: Bacteria; Pseudomonadati; Thermodesulfobacteriota; Desulfobacteria; Desulfobacterales; Desulfococcaceae. The record is from RNAcentral.
CCCGUUCCCAUCCCGAACACGGAAGUUAAGCUCUUCAGCGCCGAUGGUACUGCACGGGAGGCUGUGCGGGAGAGUAGGUGAAUGCCGGGG